Molecule: non-coding RNA, 3013 nt
Organism: Chiloscyllium plagiosum (whitespotted bambooshark)
Lineage: Eukaryota; Metazoa; Chordata; Chondrichthyes; Orectolobiformes; Hemiscylliidae
Source: RefSeq, a predicted model, not a curated record
AAUAUGUAGGGAUGAGUGAGUGUGAAGAGGGCAUGAGAAGAAACCGGUGUUUCAGGUUGUUUCAAAAGUAAAGAUGAGAGUGAGUGGGGUGUCAGAGCGAGAGAGUGAGGGUGGUUGAGAGAAGUAUGAGGGGAAAGAGGUUGUGAGGAGGGUCAGGGUGAGUGUCUGAGGUUUGAUGGUGAGGAGGACGUGUGUGUUUGAAGCUGGAUGUGUGGAGUGAGCAGAGUGUGUGCAUGAGUUCGGAGUGAGAGGGUAUAACGGUUUGUGAGAGGAUGCUGUUAGUGAGGAGGGAGAUGUUGCGUGAGUGAGAGGGUUUGUGCAGAAGGAGAAAAGAAGUGUGAGGGAGAGAGGACCAGCAAAAGCUCCCCGUCCCCCAUCGCAAAGACACUUUGUUUUGUAAGAACAGGUUGUGUGGUUUGGAUGUUUUCUGACAGUGAAAGCAGUGUUUGGGAGUGUGAGCGAUGGCGGUGAGGAAACAGCCCGGGCCCUGCUGUUUCGCUGACGUUUUGUUGCUGCAUCCCCCUUUCUCACACCUCAGGUUGGAUCGGGGUGGGGCAGCAGCUUUGUCGAUGCAAGUGAGCGUGGCAGUGUGUGCGCGCACGCAUGGGCAAGUGCAGGUGCACAUGUUUACAUGAGUAUGUCCGUGUCUCUACCUGUGUGGGUGCACGUGUGUGUUUGGAUGUCUGCGCACAUGCAUUUGCAAAUAUGCAUCUGCAAAUGACUGCGAGUUUGUAUGCAAAUGUGUGUGUGCAUAUUUAUGCACAAAUGCAUGUGCAUGUAUCAAUGUGUGUGUGAAUGCACCUGUCUGCAAAUCUGUGUGUCUGUACUGUGUGCAGAUGCAUGUGCAUUUGAGUCUACAAGUAUGUGUGUGCGCACGUGCAUUUGAGAGUUUGAAUAAAUUUUGUGUGUUCUGCUACUCCACCUCCACCCUCAUUCACAGCAGAGUUGAGAGGGAUAUUAUCCACCAUAUAGGGUACUGUACCUUCCAAAUUUUGAGCACCCCACCCCACACUUCCUAUCUGUCACAUGCGCGCAACCCCCUCCCCAACCUCCAAACACAACCCCCACACACGUUUCUCUCUGGCAUGUUCAUGGCUGUCCAUCAGCCUAGACGAGGUGCCAAGUGGAGGCCCAUGACGGAGCAACAGCUGCCACUGACAACUUCUGUCUCGGCCGACACUCCUUUCUGAGCCGCGAUGUGUCUGUGGGGCCCUUUCCCCUUUGAGUGAAAAUUUGUGUGCUUUUCCCUUCUCUGCCCCUGUCAGCCUCUCUUCCUGACGUUUAGAAACCUGUUGUGUUCUUCACGGACCCCUCUCCGGAAUUAUGAUUCUGCAAGAUGUUCCAGCUCGUGUUGUUGGUGAGUGUGACCAGGUGGGGAAGGGGCUCUUCUCCCCUCACCCCCUCGCCAGCCUGAGCUGCCCAAACACCACCUCCUUCCCACAUCUCUUCCCCCUCCUCAUUGCCAUUUUGGAACAGACGUCACGCUAAGGUGCUGAACAGUGAGUACUUGAGAACCUUGCCCCGCGCUGUGUAGAAAAUCAGAGGCAGAGAAACGCAAAGGAGGCUGGGGAGAGACUCAAAACGCAUGCACGUCAAAAUCUGCUUUUUUUUUUCUCUUGGACGUUUGGAGCAGAUAAUGAUUUAAAAAAACUAAAAAGAGAGGAAACCAACGUGCUGUUUGGAGAGGGCCUCCUCCAUGUUUGAUGGGCUUCAGGUGAAACUAAAGAGCUAAAAGUGAGAUGAAUUGGCUCUUUUACAGCGAGAUCGAAACACUGCAGACCCGUUUAACAAAAUAAAAAUCAACGGAAAAUUCUCGAAGGUCUCAGUCGGUCUGGCAGCAUUUGUAGGGGGAGAGCCAACUUUUCAAGCCAAUUUGCAAAAUGGCUUCCUUUCAAAAUGGCCUCCUUGUUGACCUCCCUUUGGACAAUGGCAGAGUAACUGUUGUGAGGGGUCAGCCCAGUGCCUGGGGUGUGGAGGAUGUUAAUGAAGGGAUUGUUCAUCGAAGGUCACAUUCAGGUGAUGCUGUGUGUUGGAAGUGGUUUAUCGAGAGACUUUUUGGUGUAUGAGAUCCCACCUGUGUCCCCUCUAUACAAGCAACACAAAACACCAGGUUUUGUUUGGAGCAGGGAAGGGAUCCUAUCGUUUACUGAGUGAUGAGAUUCUUUCCGUUAUUUUUUCCUUUAAAUCUUUCCAUAGAGUGUGUACUGAUCUGCGGUUAAUGUCUGGCAAGUCAAAGGGAUCCUAGCACUGUGUACAACUCAGUGUGUGUAAAACACUGACCGUAUAGUUAAUGUUCGCAAGGUUCAUUUUGAAGCUUUUAACCUGUUUGGAGAUCUGUUUGUAAUGUUUAAACUCCUAUAGCCUUCCACUACUCCAUCACCCUUUCUCUCUUGCAACCCUCCCCCCAAGACCAGUCAUCAACCCUGCUCCCUAUAGCCUUGCUUUCUCUAUCUCUUCCAUCACUCUAUCCCCCUCCAUUCUUGGCCAAUCCCCCCACCUCCCGAAAUGUGAUUGUGUCUGACCCAUCAGUCCAAACCCUGAGGCACAUGCUGGGUUUUGGGGACGAACAGGUGGUGAGUAUGCUCAAGAUGCUUGGCUCACCCAUGGGUGGGUGGAAGUGGAUUUGGGUGGCCGGAACUCUGGGAAAUGUGGAGAGAUUCCCCCUGCCAUUGCCUCCCAGCACCAUUGAUGUGGCAUUAGUAGAGGUCCGUUUGUGGUUUCACUGUACUCCCAAGCAGUGCACCUUGUGUGUAGUACAGUUCAAUGGUUGACUGUGGAGCUUUCCACACAAUUGGGGUGGGGGGGGCAGAUGUUUGCAUCUUUCUUGGGACAGGAUUUAAAGAAUUUUUUUUAUCGUCUAUUGCCCCCAAUCCCCCAAAACGGAUAUGAAAUGAUUGGUUGAGUUGUGAUACCAUAUAUCUCCAUGUACUACUCAAUGUUAUUGUAAUGUGUUGUUGCCUCAAAAUCAGUGUAAAUCUACCAGAAGGAAAUACAAUUGAUUAUAUACUUUGUA